UUCAGCACUCGAUGAUGAGAUAGUAUCU
Molecule: non-coding RNA, 28 nt
Filed under: Rattus norvegicus (Norway rat)
Lineage: Eukaryota; Metazoa; Chordata; Mammalia; Rodentia; Muridae
Source: RNAcentral